RNAcentral lists this ribosomal RNA (253 nucleotides) under uncultured bacterium. RNAcentral's name for it is "partial 16S ribosomal RNA". It matches the Rfam family "Bacterial small subunit ribosomal RNA", at positions 524 to 776 of the family's 1533-position model. The record is from RNAcentral.
UACAGAGGGGGCAAGCGUUGUUCGGAAUUACUGGGCGUAAAGGGCGCGUAGGCGGCCUGCUAAGUCGAACGUGAAAUCCCUGGGCUCAACCCAGGAACUGCGUCCGAUACGGGCAGGCUAGAGUUCGGUAGGGGAGACUGGAAUUCCUGGUGUAGCGGUGAAAUGCGCAGAUAUCGGGAGGAACACCAAUGGCGAAGGCAGCUUGCUGGGACGGUACUGACGCUGAGGUGCGAAAGCGUGGGGAGCAAACAGG